Molecule: ribosomal RNA, 1370 nt
Filed under: Psilochorema bidens
Lineage: Eukaryota; Metazoa; Arthropoda; Insecta; Trichoptera; Hydrobiosidae
Description: 16S ribosomal RNA
Source: RNAcentral
UAAAAGAUUCUUAAUAAAAUUAAUUGAAAUUUUAUAAAUUAAAUUUAUUUAAAAUAAUAUUUAUUUUAAUUUGUUAAAGUAUAAUUUUUAAAAAAAAUAAAAAUAUUUAUAGUUAAUGAGUAUUGUAAAAGAAAGAUGAAAUAAUAUAAAAAUAAUUAUUAAAAAAGUAGAUUUAAUUUAUUUUAUCUUGUGUAUCAGAGUUUAUUAAAUAAAAUUUAUGUAAAAUAAAUUUUUCGAAAUUAAAAGAUUUAUUUUUUUAAUUUAUUUAUUGUAAAAUAAAUAUUAAUAAUAAAAAAAUAGAAAUGAAAUGUUAUUCGUUUUUAAUUAUAUCUAAUUAUUUAAGAAAUAAUUUUAAUUUAUUUAAUUUAUAUUAAAAUAAUAAUAAUAUAAAAAUUAAUAUAAAUUAAAAUAUUAAUUAAGGGAUAAGCUUUAAUUAAAAAAAUUAAAUUUAAAUUUAAUUUUUAAAAAAUUAUAAAAAUAAAAUUUUUAAUUAUUUUUAGUUUUUUAUAAAAAAUUUUUAAAAAAAAUAAAAUUUAAUUACUUAAAAUUAAUUUAAAUAAUAAUAAUAUAUUAAAUUUUUAUAUUUAAUUAUUAAAUAUAAUUAAUAAUGAUAAAAUAAGUAUAUAAAAAUUUAUAAAUUAUUUUAAUAAAUAUUAAAAUUAAUAUUAAAAUUAAGGAAUUCGGCAAAAUUUUAUAUUCACCUGUUUAUCAAAAACAUGUCUUUUUGGAAUUUUAUUUUAAAGUCUAAUCUGCUCACUGAAUUUAUAUUUAAAGAGCUGCAGUAUAUUAACUGUACAAAGGUAGCAUAAUAAUUUGUUUUUUAAUUAAAAACUAGAAUGAAUGAUUGAAUGAGAUAUAUACUGUCUCAAUUUUAUAAAUUAAAAAUUAAUUUUUUAGUUAAAAAGCUAAAAUAUUUUUAAAAGACGAGAAGACCCUAUAGAUUUUUAUAUAAAAAUCUAAAUUUUAAAUUAUUUAUAAAUAAUAUAUUUAUUUUUAAAGUUUUAUCUUUUAUUGGGGUAAUAAAAAAAUUAAAAAAACUUUUAUUAAAUAUAAACAUAAAUUAAUGAAAUUUUGAUCCAUUUUUAAUGAUUAUAAGAUUAAAUUACCUUAGGGAUAACAGCGUAAUUUUAAUUUUAAGUUCAUAUUGAAAUUAAAGAUUGCGACCUCGAUGUUGGAUUAAGAAAAAUUUUAAAAGAAGAAUUUUAAAUUUUAGGUCUGUUCGACCUUUAAAAUCUUACAUGAUCUGAGUUCAAACCGGUGUAAGCCAGGUUGGUUUCUAUCUUUAAAUAAAUAAUAUAAUUUAGUACGAAAGGAUUUUUUAUAUAAAAUAAUUUUUAAUUAAAGAAUUUUAAUAAAAUUAAAGUAAAAAA